This 453-nucleotide ribosomal RNA is filed under the name uncultured Porphyromonadaceae bacterium. RNAcentral's name for it is "bacterial SSU rRNA". It matches the Rfam family "Bacterial small subunit ribosomal RNA", at positions 341 to 792 of the family's 1533-position model. Lineage: Bacteria; Pseudomonadati; Bacteroidota; Bacteroidia; Bacteroidales; Porphyromonadaceae. The record is from RNAcentral.
ACGGGAGGCAGCAGUGAGGAAUAUUGGUCAAUGGGCGGAAGCCUGAACCAGCCAAGUCGCGUGAGGGAGGAAGGUCCUACGGAUUGUAAACCUCUUUAGCCGGGGAGCAAUAAUCGCCAUGCAUGGCGAGAUGAGAGUACACAGAGAAUAAGGAUCGGCUAACUCCGUGCCAGCAGCCGCGGUAAUACGGAGGAUCCGAGCGUUAUCCGGAUUUAUUGGGUUUAAAGGGUGCGCAGGCGGCUUUCUAAGUCAGUGGUUAAAUAGCGGUGCUCAACGCCGUCACGCCAUUGAUACUGGAGAGCUUGAUUGCGGUCGAGGUUUGCGGAAUUCGUCGUGUAGCGGUGAAAUGCAUAGAUAUGACGAAGAACACCGAUUGCGUAGGCAGCAGACCAGGCCGUAAAUGACGCUCAUGCACGAAAGUGCGGGGAUCGAACAGGAUUAGAUACCCUGGUA